RNAcentral lists this ribosomal RNA (329 nucleotides) under uncultured eukaryote. RNAcentral describes it as "partial 18S ribosomal RNA". It matches the Rfam family "Eukaryotic small subunit ribosomal RNA", at positions 1470 to 1796 of the family's 1831-position model. The record is from RNAcentral.
CCCUUAGAUGUCCUGGGCCGCACCCGCGCUACACUGAGUGUCUGAGAUACGAGUCUGCCUGGUCCGGCAAGGUCUAGGUAAUCGCUAAAAGACACAUCAUGCUUGGGAUAGAUUAUUGCAAAUAUUAAUCUUGAACGAGGAAUUCCUAGUAAGCGCAAGUCAACAGCUUGCGUUGAUUACGUCCCUGCCCUUUGUACACACCGCCCGUCGCUACUACUGAUUGGAUGUUUAAGCGAGGUUCUCGAACUGCUAGCGACUUAGCUUCGGUGAGGUCGCAGUGUGGGAAGUGAACCUAGCUUUGGUGUCUAGAGGAAGUAAAAGUCGUAACA